This 455-nucleotide ribosomal RNA is filed under the name Clostridium perfringens. RNAcentral describes it as "bacterial SSU rRNA". It matches the Rfam family "Bacterial small subunit ribosomal RNA", at positions 237 to 709 of the family's 1533-position model. The record is from RNAcentral. Lineage: Bacteria; Bacillati; Bacillota; Clostridia; Eubacteriales; Clostridiaceae.
CGCAUUAGCUAGUUGGUGGGGUAACGGCCUACCAAGGCGACGAUGCGUAGCCGACCUGAGAGGGUGAUCGGCCACAUUGGGACUGAGACACGGCCCAGACUCCUACGGGAGGCAGCAGUGGGGAAUAUUGCACAAUGGGGGAAACCCUGAUGCAGCAACGCCGCGUGAGUGAUGAAGGUUUUCGGAUCGUAAAGCUCUGUCUUUGGGGAAGAUAAUGACGGUACCCAAGGAGGAAGCCACGGCUAACUACGUGCCAGCAGCCGCGGUAAUACGUAGGUGGCGAGCGUUAUCCGGAUUUACUGGGCGUAAAGGGAGCGUAGGCGGAUGAUUAAGUGGGAUGUGAAAUACCCGGGCUCAACUUGGGUGCUGCAUUCCAAACUGGUUAUCUAGAGUGCAGGAGAGGAGAGUGGAAUUCCUAGUGUAGCGGUGAAAUGCGUAGAGAUUAGGAAGAACAC